Molecule: ribosomal RNA, 216 nt
Filed under: Glomeromycotina sp.
Lineage: Eukaryota; Fungi; Glomeromycota
Description: partial small subunit ribosomal RNA
Rfam family: Eukaryotic small subunit ribosomal RNA (bases 40-216)
Source: RNAcentral
GGGUCAGUAGGUUGGUCGUGCCACCGGUACGUACUGGUCUCACUGAUUCCUCCUUCCUGAAGAACCGUAAUGCCAUUAAUUUGGUGUUGCGGGGAAACAGGACUGUUACUUUCAAAAAAUUAGAGUGUUUAAAGCAAGCUAACGCUUGAAUACAUUAGCAUGGAAUAAUGAAAUAGGACGAUCGAUCCUAUUUUGUUGGUUUCUAGGAUUGACGUA